This 236-nucleotide ribosomal RNA is filed under the name uncultured Actinomycetales bacterium. Its description in RNAcentral is "partial 16S ribosomal RNA". It matches the Rfam family "Bacterial small subunit ribosomal RNA", at positions 96 to 334 of the family's 1533-position model. The record is from RNAcentral. Lineage: Bacteria; Bacillati; Actinomycetota; Actinomycetes; Actinomycetales.
UGGCGAACGGGUGAGUAACACGUGGGUAAUCUGCCCUGCACUCUGGGAUAAGCCUGGGAAACUGGGUCUAAUACUGGAUACGACCUUUCUCCUUAUGGGGUUUGGUGGAAAGUUUUUCGGUGUAGGAUGAGCCCGCGGCCUAUCAGCUUGUUGGUGGGGUGAUGGCCUACCAAGGCGACGACGGGUAGCCGGCCUGAGAGGAUGAUCGGCCACAUUGGGACUGAGAUACGGCCCAG